AAAUUGAAGAGUUUGAUCAUGGCUCAGAUUGAACGCUGGCGGCAGGCCUAACACAUGCAAGUCGAGCGGUAGCACAGGAGAGCUUGCUCUCUGGGUGACGAGCGGCGGACGGGUGAGUAAUGUCUGGGAAACUGCCUGAUGGAGGGGGAUAACUACUGGAAACGGUAGCUAAUACCGCAUAACGUCUACGGACCAAAGUGGGGGACCUUCGGGCCUCACGCCAUCAGAUGUGCCCAGAUGGGAUUAGCUAGUAGGUGGGGUAAUGGCUCACCUAGGCGACGAUCCCUAGCUGGUCUGAGAGGAUGACCAGCCACACUGGAACUGAGACACGGUCCAGACUCCUACGGGAGGCAGCAGUGGGGAAUAUUGCACAAUGGGCGCAAGCCUGAUGCAGCCAUGCCGCGUGUGUGAAGAAGGCCUUAGGGUUGUAAAGCACUUUCAGCGAGGAGGAAGGGUAGUGUGUUAAUAGCACAUUGCAUUGACGUUACUCGCAGAAGAAGCACCGGCUAACUCCGUGCCAGCAGCCGCGGUAAUACGGAGUGUGCAAGCGUUAAUCGGAAUUACUGGGCGUAAAGCGCACGCAGGCGGUUUGUUAAGUCAGAUGUGAAAUCCCCGCGCUUAACGUGGGAACUGCAUUUGAAACUGGCAAGCUAGAGUCUUGUAGAGGGGGGUAGAAUUCCAGGUGUAGCGGUGAAAUGCGUAGAGAUCUGGAGGAAUACCGGUGGCGAAGGCGGCCCCCUGGACAAAGACUGACGCUCAGGUGCGAAAGCGUGGGGAGCAAACAGGAUUAGAUACCCUGGUAGUCCACGCUGUAAACGAUGUCGAUUUGGAGGUUGUGCCCUUGAGGCGUGGCUUCCGGAGCUAACGCGUUAAAUCGACCGCCUGGGGAGUACGGCCGCAAGGUUAAAACUCAAAUGAAUUGACGGGGGCCCGCACAAGCGGUGGAGCAUGUGGUUUAAUUCGAUGCAACGCGAAGAACCUUACCUACUCUUGACAUCCAGAGAACUUUCCAGAGAUGGAUUGGUGCCUUCGGGAACUCUGAGACAGGUGCUGCAUGGCUGUCGUCAGCUCGUGUUGUGAAAUGUUGGGUUAAGUCCCGCAACGAGCGCAACCCUUAUCCUUUGUUGCCAGCGAUUCGGUCGGGAACUCAAAGGAGACUGCCGGUGAUAAACCGGAGGAAGGUGGGGAUGACGUCAAGUCAUCAUGGCCCUUACGAGUAGGGCUACACACGUGCUACAAUGGCGUAUACAAAGAGAAGCGAACUCGCGAGAGCAAGCGGACCUCAUAAAGUACGUCGUAGUCCGGAUUGGAGUCUGCAACUCGACUCCAUGAAGUCGGAAUCGCUAGUAAUCGUAGAUCAGAAUGCUACGGUGAAUACGUUCCCGGGCCUUGUACACACCGCCCGUCACACCAUGGGAGUGGGUUGCAAAAGAAGUAGGUAGCUUAACCUUCGGGAGGGCGCUUACCACUUUGUGAUUCAUGACUGGGGUGAAGUCGUAACAAGGUAACCGUAGGGGAACCUGCGGUUGGAUCACCUCCUUA
RNAcentral lists this ribosomal RNA (1542 nucleotides) under Serratia plymuthica RVH1. RNAcentral describes it as "bacterial SSU rRNA". It matches the Rfam family "Bacterial small subunit ribosomal RNA". The record is from RNAcentral. Lineage: Bacteria; Pseudomonadati; Pseudomonadota; Gammaproteobacteria; Enterobacterales; Yersiniaceae.